Molecule: ribosomal RNA, 2922 nt
Filed under: Klebsiella pneumoniae
Lineage: Bacteria; Pseudomonadati; Pseudomonadota; Gammaproteobacteria; Enterobacterales; Enterobacteriaceae
Description: 23S ribosomal RNA
Rfam family: Bacterial large subunit ribosomal RNA
Source: RNAcentral
GGGUUGUGAGGUUAAGCGACUAAGCGUACACGGUGGAUGCCCUGGCAGUCAGAGGCGAUGAAGGACGUGCUAAUCUGCGAAAAGCGUCGGUAAGGUGAUAUGAACCGUUACAGCCGGCGAUGUCCGAAUGGGGAAACCCAGUGCAAUUCGUUGCACUAUCGUUAACUGAAUACAUAGGUUAACGAGGCGAACCGGGGGAACUGAAACAUCUAAGUACCCCGAGGAAAAGAAAUCAACCGAGAUUCCCCAGUAGCGGCGAGCGAACGGGGAGCAGCCCAGAGUCUGAAUCAGCUUGUGUGUUAGUGGAACGGUCUGGAAAGUCCGACGGUACAGGGUGAUAGUCCCGUACACCAAAAUGCACAGGCUGUGAACUCGAAGAGUAGGGCGGGACACGUGGUAUCCUGUCUGAAUAUGGGGGGACCAUCCUCCAAGGCUAAAUACUCCUGACUGACCGAUAGUGAACCAGUACCGUGAGGGAAAGGCGAAAAGAACCCCGGCGAGGGGAGUGAAAAAGAACCUGAAACCGUGUACGUACAAGCAGUGGGAGCACCUUCGGGUGUGACUGCGUACCUUUUGUAUAAUGGGUCAGCGACUUAUAUUCUGUAGCAAGGUUAACCGUAUAGGGGAGCCGCAGGGAAACCGAGUCUUAACUGGGCGUUAAGUUGCAGGGUAUAGACCCGAAACCCGGUGAUCUAGCCAUGGGCAGGUUGAAGGUUGGGUAACACUAACUGGAGGACCGAACCGACUAAUGUUGAAAAAUUAGCGGAUGACUUGUGGCUGGGGGUGAAAGGCCAAUCAAACCGGGAGAUAGCUGGUUCUCCCCGAAAGCUAUUUAGGUAGCGCCUCGUGAAUUCAUCUUCGGGGGUAGAGCACUGUUUCGGCUAGGGGGUCAUCCCGACUUACCAACCCGAUGCAAACUGCGAAUACCGAAGAAUGUUAUCACGGGAGACACACGGCGGGUGCUAACGUCCGUCGUGAAGAGGGAAACAACCCAGACCGCCAGCUAAGGUCCCAAAGUCAUGGUUAAGUGGGAAACGAUGUGGGAAGGCACAGACAGCCAGGAUGUUGGCUUAGAAGCAGCCAUCAUUUAAAGAAAGCGUAAUAGCUCACUGGUCGAGUCGGCCUGCGCGGAAGAUGUAACGGGGCUAAACCAUGCACCGAAGCUGCGGCAGCGACACUAUGUGUUGUUGGGUAGGGGAGCGUUCUGUAAGCCUGCGAAGGUGUGCUGUGAGGCAUGCUGGAGGUAUCAGAAGUGCGAAUGCUGACAUAAGUAACGAUAAAGCGGGUGAAAAGCCCGCUCGCCGGAAGACCAAGGGUUCCUGUCCAACGUUAAUCGGGGCAGGGUGAGUCGACCCCUAAGGCGAGGCCGAAAGGCGUAGUCGAUGGGAAACAGGUUAAUAUUCCUGUACUUGGUGUUACUGCGAAGGGGGGACGGAGAAGGCUAUGUUAGCCGGGCGACGGUUGUCCCGGUUUAAGCAUGUAGGCUGGUUGUCCAGGCAAAUCCGGAUAAUCAAGGCUGAGGUGUGAUGACGAGGCACUACGGUGCUGAAGUAACAAAUGCCCUGCUUCCAGGAAAAGCCUCUAAGCAUCAGGUAACAUUAAAUCGUACCCCAAACCGACACAGGUGGUCAGGUAGAGAAUACCAAGGCGCUUGAGAGAACUCGGGUGAAGGAACUAGGCAAAAUGGUGCCGUAACUUCGGGAGAAGGCACGCUGGUGUGUAGGUGAAGUCCCUGCGGAUGGAGCUGAGACCAGUCGAAGAUACCAGCUGGCUGCAACUGUUUAUUAAAAACACAGCACUGUGCAAACACGAAAGUGGACGUAUACGGUGUGACGCCUGCCCGGUGCCGGAAGGUUAAUUGAUGGGGUUAUCCGUAAGGAGAAGCUCUUGAUCGAAGCCCCGGUAAACGGCGGCCGUAACUAUAACGGUCCUAAGGUAGCGAAAUUCCUUGUCGGGUAAGUUCCGACCUGCACGAAUGGCGUAAUGAUGGCCAGGCUGUCUCCACCCGAGACUCAGUGAAAUUGAACUCGCUGUGAAGAUGCAGUGUACCCGCGGCAAGACGGAAAGACCCCGUGAACCUUUACUAUAGCUUGACACUGAACAUUGAGCCUUGAUGUGUAGGAUAGGUGGGAGGCUUUGAAGCGUGGACGCCAGUCUGCGUGGAGCCAACCUUGAAAUACCACCCUUUAAUGUUUGAUGUUCUAACGUUGGCCCCUUACCGGGGUUGCGGACAGUGUCUGGUGGGUAGUUUGACUGGGGCGGUCUCCUCCCAAAGCGUAACGGAGGAGCACGAAGGUUAGCUAAUCCUGGUCGGACAUCAGGAGGUUAGUGCAAUGGCAUAAGCUAGCUUGACUGCGAGCGUGACGGCGCGAGCAGGUGCGAAAGCAGGUCAUAGUGAUCCGGUGGUUCUGAAUGGAAGGGCCAUCGCUCAACGGAUAAAAGGUACUCCGGGGAUAACAGGCUGAUACCGCCCAAGAGUUCAUAUCGACGGCGGUGUUUGGCACCUCGAUGUCGGCUCAUCACAUCCUGGGGCUGAAGUAGGUCCCAAGGGUAUGGCUGUUCGCCAUUUAAAGUGGUACGCGAGCUGGGUUUAGAACGUCGUGAGACAGUUCGGUCCCUAUCUGCCGUGGGCGCUGGAGAAUUGAGGGGGGCUGCUCCUAGUACGAGAGGACCGGAGUGGACGCAUCACUGGUGUUCGGGUUGUCAUGCCAAUGGCACUGCCCGGUAGCUAAAUGCGGAAGAGAUAAGUGCUGAAAGCAUCUAAGCACGAAACUUGCCCCGAGAUGAGUUCUCCCUGAGACUUUAAGUCUCCUGAAGGAACGUUAAAGACGAUGACGUUGAUAGGCCGGGUGUGUAAGCGCAGCGAUGCGUUGAGCUAACCGGUACUAAUGAACCGUGAGGCUUAACCUUACAACGCCGAAG